This 473-nucleotide ribosomal RNA is filed under the name uncultured bacterium. RNAcentral describes it as "bacterial SSU rRNA". It matches the Rfam family "Bacterial small subunit ribosomal RNA", at positions 335 to 802 of the family's 1533-position model. The record is from RNAcentral.
ACUCCUACGGGAGGCAGCAGUGGGGAAUAUUGCACAAUGGGGAAACCCUGAUGCAGCCAUGCCGCGUGUGUGAAGAAGGCCUUCGGUUGUAAAGCACUUUCAGUAGGGAGGAAGGUAGUGUAGUUAACACCUGCACUAUUUGACGUUACCUACAGAAGAAGCACCGGCUAACUCCGUGCCAGCAGCCGCGGUAAUACGGAGGGGUGCGAGCGUUAAUCGGAAUUACUGGGCGUAAAGCGCAUGCAGGCGGCCUGUUAAGUCAGAUGUGAAAGCCCGGGGGCUUAACCUCGGAAUUGCAUUUGAAACUGGCAGGCUAGAGUCUUGUAGAGGGGGUAGAAUUUCAGGUGUAGCGGUGAAAUGCGUAGAGAUCUGAAGGAAUACCAGUGGCGAAGGCGGCCCCCUGGACAAAGACUGACGCUCAGAUGCGAAAGCGUGGGGAGGCAAACAGGAUUAGAUACCCUGGUAGACUGUCA